GACGAACGCUGGCGGCGUGCUUAACACAUGCAAGUCGAGCGGUAAGGCCCUUUCGGGGGUACACGAGCGGCGAACGGGUGAGUAACACGUGGGUGACCUGCCCUCAGCUCUGGGAUAAGCCUGGGAAACCGGGUCUAAUACUGGAUAUGACUCCAUGACGCAUGUUGUGGGGUGGAAAGCCUUGUGCGGCUGAGGAUGGGCCCGCGGCCUAUCAGCUUGUUGGUGGGGUGANGGCCUACCAAGGCGACGACGGGUAGCCGGCCUGAGAGGGCGACCGGCCACGCUGGGACUGAGACACGGCCCAGACUCCUACGGGAGGCAGCAGUGGGGAAUCUUGCGCAAUGGGCGAAAGCCUGACGCAGCGACGCCGCGUGAGGGAUGACGG
This 385-nucleotide ribosomal RNA is filed under the name uncultured bacterium. RNAcentral's name for it is "bacterial SSU rRNA". It matches the Rfam family "Bacterial small subunit ribosomal RNA", at positions 28 to 414 of the family's 1533-position model. The record is from RNAcentral.